RNAcentral lists this long non-coding RNA (3371 nucleotides) under Triticum aestivum (bread wheat). Its description in RNAcentral is "long non-coding RNA (TAES_LNC003952)". Lineage: Eukaryota; Viridiplantae; Streptophyta; Magnoliopsida; Poales; Poaceae. The record is from RNAcentral.
CCUGAUUUUAUCACUUCCGUUGACGAGUCUUGUGUCAGCAUCUUGAUGCGAGGUACAACUUCUAGGUGAUCUUCUUCAUGUUUUACGUUGUUGUACUUUUUGCUGCAAUGUGGACGUACAUAUUCUAGCAGAUAUAUCUUCAUGCUUUACCUUGUUUACCACUGCCCUGAUGUGGAGGUACAGAUUCUAGCUGAUAUAUAUCGUCAUGUUUUACCUUUUACCAACAUCCAAGAUUUUUGUUUCCUCAUUUCUUUCAAUUAGAUAGAAGAUGGGACGUGCUUUGUUGUAGUUUCCUCUUACUUUGACUAAGUAGGACAUUUUUUUGAAAUACCAAAUUGUGGUGUCGCUACCCCUACGCACCACGGUUUUGCAGCACCCUCAGCUAAAGUAAACCAUUCCAAGCCUACCAUACUCGAAACAUGGAAGCAUGCAAACUUCAGAGCAUCUUGGUGUCGCUGGCCACCCGAUCUCUACAACCACCACAAAAUGCUACAGGACCAACCAGGCCGGUGUCCUGACCACUGAAUCAUGUCACUGUGUGGGCGCCUAGAUCUCCCAUGUGUCUGUCUAAAGCCUGAGGGGCCAACCUCGCUCGAGCGUCGCCAGCCAGCACUCAUCUGCACAUGAACAAAUGGUUGGAUAUAUGUGCCUCCUCCGUCUCUUAUUCCCCGAAACAUAAUUUGAUGAGUAGAGUUUCUAAUCAUUUAUGGCACACUGGCAUAUGAUUAAACUGCACAAGUUAGAUUGACAUUUUGUGGAGAACGGUCGUCGGUUGGGAGCCUCGCCGUCUACCUCCACCAGCCGGCCCACACACCAUUGCUCCCCGCGUGUCGCGCCCCUCCCCGAACCAUCAUGCCUUCUAAUUAGUGUACGUGGUAGUCUGGUAAAAGUGGAGAAUAAUUCGGGUAAUGUCUAUGGAUGUACUACCAGUAUUGCGGCUAACCUGCCUGGCAGUGAGAUGCAUCUAGAUUAGAUCUGAUUACUGAUAUAGAAGAUGCAAUUAAUUAUCUAAAAUUUUCCUUGUACCAUUUUCCAUGAGAUUAAUGUAAUUGGGAAUACCAGUGCUUGUUUGAAUCAUUUAGUUAAAUAAUUUUAUAGAUAAAACUUGUAUUUGUAUGUUUUGGAAUUACUAUUAUCCUGGUAAAAUGACCACAAGUGAAAGGGUUGUAAAGAUUAAUUAUUCUUUGUGGAAGCAUUACUGGUCUAAUUAAUAGAUGUACAUGCAUCAAUAAUGUUGUUGAGCUUUAGUUGAUUCUAUAGUGUUGUACUAUUCGCAAAGUUCUAUUUUGAGAAAAAAAUGGCAAAUUCAAUAUUGUGCCAGCUAAAUGGCGCACCCGCUGUAGCAAGUGAGUUCCCAUCAAAAUCACCCUGAGCAUAUUUUUGCUGAUUUUCAUGAUUGCUCUUCUGCCAGGAACAAUGUUCCUGGCACUUCGACCACACAACUGUAUGUUCAUGUUCCAGUGUCCUUAUUCAUAGUUAAUUUCAAUCACAAAGUGACAAAUGUCAGUCUAUUAGUUAACAUGUGUAUCUCCGUUUCUUCUAAGUUUCAAUCGACCUACUCUGAAGUUGUUCCUAAGAUAGUGCCUCAAGCAAAGGGAAUGAGCCUCAGUUAGUGCAUCUAGCAAGUUCGUGAUCCUUUGUUGGGAUAAACAUUUGUGCAAGAGCAAUAGUCUCGUCACUAUUGGUUGUUAGUACUGUUGCUUGUUAAUUCUACUUUUUACUUCAGUUCGUAAUGCAAUAUAGUUAUGCUUGACGCACUAUAAGAAGACUGCCAUUUUGCCUUUUGACCUUGGUUUCUUCCUCCAGUAAGUAAAUGCACAUAGUUCUUUUGUAAAUUAGAGCAUACGACUUGUUGAUCGAUCUCUGAGCUCAGUAAUAAUAUUAAGCCUCAAUCUGUUUAUUGUGCACACAAGAUGAGAAAGAAUUGCUACCCAAGAAUAUGUACUUUAUAAACAUUUCAACUGUAAUCUGGAAAAAAAUUAAAUAAAUAAGGAAACAGUAUAUUCAUAUAUCUUUUUUGUACUUUGAUGGUGUCACACCACAAGUUCCGAGAUGGUAAUUGUGCUGCAUAUGUCUGCUCUCUUACUUUGUUUUUCUGAACAGGUAGGUUCUGGAAGAUGUCAUGAAGAAUUUCUUUCAGAGAAUUUGCGUGAGGAGUGUCUAAAUGAUUUUUAUCUUCUGAACAUAUUCUUGUAUGACUAACUGAAUUCAUUUUUUCAAAACGUCGGUACUUUUCCUUUUUCAUUUAUGUUGCUCGAUUGAGUCCACAUGCCUGCCCUUACUGAGUUUGCUCAAGAGUAAGAUAAACUUGAUAUUUAUGUUUGUCGGCAGCAGCGUGACUAGCUGAUCUGUAGCGGCGCGGAAGGUGAGCUUGGCUGCAGGUAGCAGCUCCUUUGGCUGAUCUGCGGCGAUGCAGAAGUUGGGUUGGAAAGAAGCACGACCGGCUGCUCUGAAGUGGGACGUAGGGAGAGCUUCGUAAGAGAUAGGGAGGGAGCUCUAUUGGCCCGUGCAUGACAUCCAACCCAAUGGCAUCAUGCCCUGGUAAGCUUCUUAUCUGUUCCAAUUCUUGCACUUGGUCUUUUUCUUUCUAACCCUAAAAAUAGAGUGUGCCUUGAUUCCUAAUCAUGCUUUAAAAGCUGAUAUCCACCUCGUUUAUCUUGCUACUAGUGGUAAUGUGUGCAAGUAUGAUUUUGUGAUAAUGCCAGAUGUUGUGUGCCUUCUUUAUUCAUGGUACGAGUACUCUAACCUGGCUCGUAUGAUAAUGUAUCACUGCUAUAGAGCACAAACGACGUGUUUUUUAAUUAUAUUUUAGUUGACAUGGAUUUCAUUUAUCUUGUGAAUUGUAUAGUCAGAUCAUGAAUUUUUAUGAUUGAUUGAUUUUCAUGGUCACAGGUAGGCAUGGUUGUGUGGCCACGGGGAAAAUGGAGCAAGUAGCAUGUGAGGAGUUUAACAAAUGGGGACAAGGGACAGUUUAGUUAAUUAAGGCUCUAUGUUAGUUUCAAGUUUUAUCCUUGUUGCGGUAAAAAAUUAUGGUUGGAUUAACCACCAUGUACAUCUUUAAUUACUUUUAAAUAAGAAAUAUAAUCAAAAUAUUCUUUUGAAUUGAUAAAAUUUAUAUAAUUUGUACAAGUACAUGAAGGUGGAACAGGAGGAAGGGUGGGAGAAGAUUAGAUAUCGUUUCAUUUUCUUGCAAGGAAAGGAUGGUUACGAAGAAAUGACAAGAAAUGGAGGGACAAUCAGUUUUAUUACUGUAUGGAUGGAAACCACAUGCCAGCUUGUCCAACAUAUUUCUACAUUGAGUCAAUUAUUCAAUCGCUAUAUUUUUUUUAUUCCAUGGCAAUGCAUGGUCAUUCAACUAUUCAAAUUUACGG